This 253-nucleotide ribosomal RNA is filed under the name uncultured bacterium. Its description in RNAcentral is "partial 16S ribosomal RNA". It matches the Rfam family "Bacterial small subunit ribosomal RNA", at positions 524 to 776 of the family's 1533-position model. The record is from RNAcentral.
UACGGAGGGUGCAAGCGUUAUCCGGAUUCACUGGGUUUAAAGGGUGCGUAGGAGGGCAGGUAAGUCAGUGGUGAAAUCCGGCGGCUUAACCGUCGAACUGCCAUUGAUACUGCAGGCCUUGAAUUAUUGGGAAGUAACUAGAAUAUGUAGUGUAGCGGUGAAAUGCUUAGAUAUUACAUGGAAUACCGAUUGCGAAGGCAGGUUACUAUCAAUACAUUGACGCUGAUGGACGAAAGCGUGGGGAGCGAACAGG